Molecule: ribosomal RNA, 397 nt
Filed under: uncultured bacterium
Lineage: Bacteria
Description: bacterial SSU rRNA
Rfam family: Bacterial small subunit ribosomal RNA
Source: RNAcentral
GAUGAACGCUGGCGGCGUGCCUAACACAUGCAAGUCGAGCGAGCUGAUCCCUUCGGGGUGAAGCUAGCGGCGGACGGGUGAGUAACACGUGGGCAACCUGCCUCAUAGAGGGGAAUAGCCUCCCGAAAGGGAGAUUAAUACCGCAUAAGAUUGUAGCUUCGCAUGAAGUAGUAAUUAAAGGAGCAAUCCGCUAUGAGAUGGGGCCCGCGGCGCAUUAGCUAGUUGGUGAGGUAACGGCUCACCAAGGCGACGAUGCGUAGCCGACCUGAGAGGGUGAUCGGCCACAUUGGGACUGAGACACGGCCCAGACUCCUACGGGAGGCAGCAGUGGGGAAUAUUGCACAAUGGGGGAAACCCUGAUGCAGCAAUGCCGCGUGAAGUGAUGACGGCCUCGGUU